GCCGGAGUAGCUCAGGUGGUUAGAGCAGCGGAAUCAUAAUCCGCGUGUCGGGGGUUCGAGUCCCUCCUCCGGUACCA
RNAcentral lists this transfer RNA (77 nucleotides) under bacterium. RNAcentral describes it as "tRNA-Met". It matches the Rfam family "tRNA". From Rfam's summary of the family: Transfer RNA (tRNA) molecules are approximately 80 nucleotides in length. Their secondary structure includes four short double-helical elements and three loops (D, anti-codon, and T loops). RNAcentral also lists the same sequence under 1 other name. The record is from RNAcentral.